Molecule: ribosomal RNA, 104 nt
Filed under: Pseudomonas sp. BBP2017
Lineage: Bacteria; Pseudomonadati; Pseudomonadota; Gammaproteobacteria; Pseudomonadales; Pseudomonadaceae
Description: partial 16S ribosomal RNA
Rfam family: Bacterial small subunit ribosomal RNA
Source: RNAcentral
AGCAGUAUUGAACUGAAGAGUUUGAUCAUGGCUCAGAUUGAACGCUGGCGGCAGGCCUAACACAUGCAAGUCGAGCGGAUGAGAAGAGCUUGCUCUUCGAUUCA